Molecule: ribosomal RNA, 497 nt
Filed under: uncultured bacterium
Lineage: Bacteria
Description: partial 16S ribosomal RNA
Rfam family: Bacterial small subunit ribosomal RNA
Source: RNAcentral
GACGAACGCUGGCGGCGUGCCUAAUACAUGCAAGUCGAACGCUGAAGAGAGGAGCUUGCUCUUCUUGGAUGAGUUGCGAACGGGUGAGUAACGCGUAGGUAACCUGCCUGGUAGCGGGGGAUAACUAUUGGAAACGAUAGCUAAUACCGCAUAAAAUGGAUUAUCGCAUGAUAAUCCAUUGAAAGGUGCAAAUGCAUCACUACCAGAUGGACCUGCGUUGUAUUAGCUAGUUGGUGGGGUAACGGCCGACCAAGGCGACCAGACCAAGCCGGCCUUGAGGGGUGAUCGGCCAAACUGGGACCGGGGAACGGCCCCAACUGCUACGGGAGGCAGCAGUAGGGAAUUUUCGGCAAUGGAGGGAAGGCUGACCGGGCAACGCCGCGGGAGUGAAGAAGGUUUUCGGAUCGUAAAGCUCUGUUGUAAGAGAAGGACGAUUGUGAGAGUGAAAAGUUCACACUGUGACGGUAUCUUACCAGAAAGCGACGGCUAACUACGUG